AGAAUCAACGCUGGCGGCGUGCCUCAGACAUGCAAGUCGAACGCGAAAGUCCCCUUCGGGGGACAAGUAGAGUGGCGCACGGGUGAGUAGCACGUAGGUAAUCUACCUUCGGAUGGGGAAUAACAACCGGAAACGGUUGCUAAUACCGCAUAAUGCAGCGGCACCUAAUGGUGACAGUUGUUAAAGCGGGGGAUCGAAAGACCUCGCGUCUGAAGAGGAGCCUGCGGCGGAUUAGCUAGUUGGUAGGUAACGCCUACCAAGGCGACGAUCCGUA
RNAcentral lists this ribosomal RNA (274 nucleotides) under uncultured soil bacterium. RNAcentral describes it as "partial 16S ribosomal RNA". It matches the Rfam family "Bacterial small subunit ribosomal RNA", at positions 26 to 285 of the family's 1533-position model. The record is from RNAcentral.